GACGAACGCUGGCGGCGUGCCUAACACAUGCAAGUCGAGCGAAUGAAGUUCCUUCGGGAAUGGAUUUAGCGGCGGACGGGUGAGUAACACGUGGGCAACCUGCCUCCUAGAGGGGAAUAGCCUCCCGAAAGGGAGAUUAAUACAGCAUAAGAUUGUAGUAGCGCAUGAUACAGCAAUUAAAGGGGCCAUCCACUAUGAGAUGGGCCCGCGGCGCAUUAGCUAGUGGGUGAGGUAAUGGCUCACCAAGGCGACGAUGCGUAGCCGACAUGGGAGGGUGAUCGGCCACAUUUGGACUGAGACACGGCCCAGACUCCGACGGGAGGCAGGAGUAGGGAAUAUUGCACAAGGGGGGAAACCGUGAUGCAGCAACGCCGCGUGAGUGAUGACGGCCGUCGGGUUGUAAAGCUCUGUCUUCAGGGACGAUAAUGACGGUACCUGAGGAGGAAGCCACGGCUAACUACGUG
This 464-nucleotide ribosomal RNA is filed under the name uncultured bacterium. RNAcentral describes it as "partial 16S ribosomal RNA". It matches the Rfam family "Bacterial small subunit ribosomal RNA", at positions 28 to 507 of the family's 1533-position model. The record is from RNAcentral.